This 256-nucleotide ribosomal RNA is filed under the name uncultured bacterium. RNAcentral's name for it is "partial 16S ribosomal RNA". It matches the Rfam family "Bacterial small subunit ribosomal RNA", at positions 524 to 776 of the family's 1533-position model. The record is from RNAcentral.
UACGUAGGGUGCAAGCGUUUGUCCGGAAUUAUUGGGCGUAAAGAGCUCGUAGGCGGCUUGUCACGUCUGCUGUGAAAACUCGGGGCUCAACCCCCGAGCCUGCAGUGGAUACGGGCUAGCUAGAGUGCGGUAGGGGGAGACUGGAAUUCCUGGUGUAGCGGUGAAAUGCGCAGAUAUCAGGAGGAACACCGGUGGCGAAGGCGGGUCUCUGGACCGAUACUGACGCUGAGGAGCGAAAGCGUGGGGAGCGAACAGG